Long non-coding RNA from Cuculus canorus (common cuckoo), 1128 nucleotides. RefSeq lists it as uncharacterized. The record is from RefSeq and is a predicted model, not a curated record. The transcript is spliced from 6 exons. NCBI's taxonomy places the organism in Eukaryota, Metazoa, Chordata, Aves, Cuculiformes, Cuculidae.
UGCUGGAGAUGUCUGAACGCCUGCCUGCAGAUGAGAAACAGUGAAGAAAUUCCUUAUUUUGCUUUGCUUGCACUCAUAGCUUUUUCUUUACUUAUUGAACUUACUGUCUUUAUCUCAACUCACGAGCUUUCUCACUUUUAUUCUUCUGAUUCUCUCCCCUAUUCCAGCUGGGGAAAGUGAGUGAGUGGCUGUAUGGUCCUUAGUUGCCAGCUGGGGUUAAACCAUGACAAUGACAUUUCAGAGUUAUAAAUGAGACUGGAGUAGGAGAAAAGUGUUGUUUUGCCUGAAGCCCUUUUUGUAUGUGACAAAGAUGAUGCUGUACCGAAAAAGGUACAGUAUGAACGUACUCCAGCUGAUCACAAGACUGAAAGGAGAACAGCUCUUCUGAAGACUUGGUCAUGAGGAAACUGUCUAAAUGUACGGAGAUAAAUUUCAUAAAUAAUAAGAAAUGGAGCAGCUCUUCUGCGGUGAAGCAGGAAAUGAGUGCUGGCAUCUGAAGCUUCUGCUGUGCCUGUCACAUCCUGGGAGGAUUAUUACUCUGUUGUAUUCCUCUUAGCAAUCUCAUGAGAUAUGUUAAAAAAAUAUAAAGGCACUGAAGGUAGAGGGCAAGCUCAUACUGGCAAAGGCAAUGGAGCCAAAAGAGAUUAAGAAAGUAUAUUUUCACUCCUUGGGCUUAGAAACAAAUUCCUCCUCCAUGCAUCUACCACUUGAGGAUGUCUUUCUUGCUCUUUACCAUCAGGAUGUGAUUUGGAUUUCAUGGCCAACAUCUGCAGAGCAGACGCCUAUUGUGUUAUGCCCUUCGUGAGCAGUCCACCACUUAUUGGUGCAAAAAUGUCCUUUGGACAACAGACAGUCCAGCAGGUUUAAAGAGACAAGACAGAAAAGGUAGAAGUCAUCAACACCUUCCAGCAAUCCAAAUAACAAACAUAAUUUUUGUUGUCAAUCUUCUAACAACUCUCCUCCUUGAACGUUGAGAAUAUUACAGAACACAGAAGGCCAUCAAGAAGAGUUUCGAUGUUACCCAAAUGAUAUUAACAAAAUCAAAGGUAAACUGCAUUGAGAAAUGGAAAGCAAUACUGCAUUUUGAGCUGCUCAUCUAUUGUGACACCGAAAAUUAGGUCCCUUUAA